CUUUCUUUUAAAAGUAUAAGCUCUUUUCCUUUUUCGUUUUGUUUUCUUGAUAGCGAUGCGGCAUCGAGAGACUGAGUGUGAGCCGAAAGCAGAGGUCAAUGACCACUUGUUUUGUGCGUCUAGUUCCCAUUGGUUAUGCAGGAGUUUCGGGCGCCUGAGGACGUUUCCUUCUACUCUGCAGAGGAAGAGAGGGAGGGAAGAUGAAAAAGAGCAAGAGAACACCUCAAAAGAAGGACUCCUUUAAUGGUCACAUGGUGACUUUCUUCAAGGGACAACUCCUAUAAUGGACACUUAGGUGACUUUUGUGGUUAUACAUCUCCUGGGUGAGCUCAUCAGUGUUCUUUUCUUUCCAUUUGUCCCUUGUUUUUUAACUUUCUGGUGAGGUUGGUGUCUUUCCACACACAGGCCAUUGAACUUGAAGGUCUGUGUUAUUUUAGAGCUCUCAACCAUUAUUUUGUAGGGGCCUUGUCUGUGAACCUGUAACAGUGGCCACACCCCUUUGGGUGUGGCUUCGGGCGAAAGGAGGCAGAAACAGGGAAGCAUGAGGCAUAGCUUCUGUUUUUCCGAGCUCCUUUCUGGUGGGUCAGCCGAUCCAGUAGGAAGGACAGAGAAAUGCUCCCACGGUUUUUUGUAUUUUUCUGUGUAAGUGUUCCCCAAUAAAACCCAUUUAUUAUUAUCUUGGGUCUAGUGAAAUCUUUACACACAUGCCUUCAAUUGGUGUCUGACGUGCUUAGGUGGGUCCCUGCAACCGUCCCACAUGGCUGGCUGUACAGCCUACGGCUUUUAUAUUUUGCUCCGGCUGCUGAGUCUGCUGCACAGUUUCUGUGGAAAAGCCAGUACUUUGCUGUGCUCUUUGCAUGCCGUGGAUUUGUGGGCGCGUGCUUGUGGAAAGUAGCCCAAAGCUUUCUGAGUUGCAGCAGAU
RNAcentral lists this long non-coding RNA (922 nucleotides) under Cricetulus griseus (Chinese hamster). RNAcentral's name for it is "lncRNA (ENSCGRG00000024840.1)". The record is from RNAcentral. Lineage: Eukaryota; Metazoa; Chordata; Mammalia; Rodentia; Cricetidae.